AGGUCGAGCGGAACGAUGGUAGCUUGCUACCAGGCGUCGAGCGGCGGACGGGUGAGUAAUACUUAGGAAUCUACCUAGUAGUGGGGGAUAGCACGGGGAAACUCGUAUUAAUACCGCAUACGACCUACGGGAGAAAGGGGGCAGUUUACUGCUCUCGCUAUUAGAUGAGCCUAAGUCGGAUUAGCUAGAUGGUGGGGUAAAGGCCUACCAUGGCGACGAUCUGUAGCUGGUCUGAGAGGAUGAUCAGCCACACCGGGACUGAGACACGGCCCGGACUCCUACGGGAGGCAGCAGUGGGGAAUAUUGGACAAUGGGGGAAACCCUGAUCCAGCCAUGCCGCGUGUGUGAAGAAGGCCUUUUGGUUGUAAAGCACUUUAAGCAGUGAAGAAGACUCUUCGGUUAAUACCCGGAGACGAUGACAUUAGCUGCAGAAUAAGCACCGGCUAACUCUGUGCCAGCAGCCGCGGUAA
Molecule: ribosomal RNA, 470 nt
Filed under: uncultured Psychrobacter sp.
Lineage: Bacteria; Pseudomonadati; Pseudomonadota; Gammaproteobacteria; Moraxellales; Moraxellaceae
Description: bacterial SSU rRNA
Rfam family: Bacterial small subunit ribosomal RNA
Source: RNAcentral